RNAcentral lists this ribosomal RNA (477 nucleotides) under Amphibacillus tropicus. Its description in RNAcentral is "bacterial SSU rRNA". It matches the Rfam family "Bacterial small subunit ribosomal RNA", at positions 56 to 500 of the family's 1533-position model. The record is from RNAcentral. Lineage: Bacteria; Bacillati; Bacillota; Bacilli; Caryophanales; Bacillaceae.
UGCAGUCGAGCGCAGGAACUCAACUGACCCCUUCGGGGUGACGAUGAGUGGAAUGAGCGGCGGACGGGUGAGUAACACGUGGGCAACCUACCUGUAAGACUGGGAUAACUCCGGGAAACCGGGGCUAAUACCGGAUAACUUUUUCCUUCGCAUGAAGGGGAAUUAAAAGGCGGCAUUUGCUGUCACUUACAGAUGGGCCCGCGGCGCAUUAGCUAGUUGGUGAGGUAACGGCUCACCAAGGCAACGAUGCGUAGCCGACCUGAGAGGGUGAUCGGCCACACUGGGACUGAGACACGGCCCAGACUCCUACGGGAGGCAGCAGUAGGGAAUCUUCCGCAAUGGACGAAAGUCUGACGGAGCAACGCCGCGUGAACGAAGAAGGUUUUCGGAUCGUAAAGUUCUGUUGUUAGGGAAGAACAAGUAUGAGUCGAAUAGGCUCAUGCCUUGACGGUACCUAACAUAGCAAGCCCCGGCUAA